UACGGAGGAUCCGAGCGUUAUCCGGAUUUAUUGGGUUUAAAGGGUGCGUAGGCGGCUUAUUAAGUCAGUGGUGAAAGACGGCAGCUCAACUGUCGCAGUGCCUUUGAUACUGAUGAGCUUGAAUGUUGUUGAAGAUGGCGGAAUGAGACAAGUAGCGGUGAAAUGCAUAGAUAUGUCUCAGAACUCCGAUUGCGAAGGCAGCUAUCUAAGCAAUGAUUGACGCUGAUGCACGAAAGCGUGGGGAUCGAAC
This 250-nucleotide ribosomal RNA is filed under the name uncultured prokaryote. RNAcentral describes it as "partial 16S ribosomal RNA". It matches the Rfam family "Bacterial small subunit ribosomal RNA", at positions 524 to 773 of the family's 1533-position model. The record is from RNAcentral.